AGUGAACGCUGGCGGUAGGCCUAACACAUGCAAGUCGAACGGCAGCACAGUAAGAGCUUGCUCUUACGGGUGGCGAGUGGCGGACGGGUGAGGAAUACAUCGGAAUCUACUUUUUCGGGGGGGAUAACGUAGGGAAACUUACGCUAAUACCGCAUACGACCUACGGGUGAAAGCAGGGGAUCUUCUGACCUUGCGCGAUUGAAUGGGCCGAUGUGGGGUUGGCUAGUUGGGGGGGUAAACGCCCACCAAGGCGACGAUCCGUAGCUGGUGUGAGAGGAUGGUCGCCGACAUUGGAAGUGAGACGGCGUCCAGACUCCUACGGGAGGGAGCAGUCGGGAAUAUUGGGCAAAGGGCGCAAGCCUGAUCCAGCCAUACCGAGUGGGUGAAGAAGGCCUUCGGGUUGUAAAGCCCUUUUGUUGGGAAAGAAAAGCAGCAGGUUAAUACCCCGCUGUUCUGACGGUACCCAAAGAAUAAGCACCGGCUAACUUCGUG
Molecule: ribosomal RNA, 492 nt
Filed under: uncultured bacterium
Lineage: Bacteria
Description: partial 16S ribosomal RNA
Rfam family: Bacterial small subunit ribosomal RNA
Source: RNAcentral